UUAACUAUUAGAUAGUACUCAGACGACAUUUUCAGAAUUUUAGAUAUAAUACACAAGGGUGAGGUUUGCUACCCGUUAGGGCAGCUAACACUGUAAUGAUCCUUCCGCAGGUUCACCUACGGAAA
RNAcentral lists this unclassified non-coding RNA (125 nucleotides) under uncultured fungus. Its description in RNAcentral is "sequence contains ITS1". The record is from RNAcentral. Lineage: Eukaryota; Fungi.